RNAcentral lists this long non-coding RNA (319 nucleotides) under Androctonus crassicauda. Lineage: Eukaryota; Metazoa; Arthropoda; Arachnida; Scorpiones; Buthidae. The record is from RNAcentral.
CUGGGGUGGUGCCAUCUAUUGUUUGAUGGUCAAACUAUGAUUUUUGACUGAUUUCUGAAAUUAAAAAUUUGCUUUCGCCUGGAGUCGAGCCAGGGACUUCGGGAUGGUGCCCCGACGUCUUGCCGGCUGGACUACCAAGACAUCAACGGGUUUCCAGUUUCAGAAUAUAUUUGGUUUAGAAUUGUCGGACUCGGCCGGUUGCGGCGCUCCCGGACGGGCUGUGUCUGGCCACGGGCCCCCGUGGCGCUGUCCGGGCGGGCGGGCUUGGCACGGGCCAGAUGGCAAAUCGUUGCUGAACCGCACAGGGGAUUGAUUACCG